AUAUUCAUGGAGGGGGAAGGGAGGAAGAAGUUCUGGACUAGAGCAUGGUGUGUUUCUUAGGGUCAAGGGGCUCUGAUGAGCAUUAUGAACAGUCUGCUCUAAAGGCAUAAGUGGACUCUCCAUCCAGGACGUGGAUGGACCAGGAAACAACAAGAGGGACCUCACAAGGGCCUGGAAUCCUUUACGUUGGGAUUGAGAUCCACUGGUCCAGACUGAUUUGAAUCAAAAGAAUGGAAGGAGAAGAGGUAACAUACUGGACCCCUCAUCACAUCCACCGAAGCCUUUCCAAAGGAAGUCAUCACUGGACCUUGCGACGGAAGCAAAGCAAAAGUCCAGCGCUUACUGUGACAGAACAAGUUAGUCUGUAGCUCACGGAACCUUUCCUUAACCCAAAUCAUCAAUUGAGAUGGAUCGCCAUAUUCCUACCGUACCCACGAGAUCUGUUUCCAGAAACAUAACAUCUGUUAUUUGUAUAAAAGGGACGUGUUUGUCCAGGCUUCAUGGGGCUGCCUGUGCAAAGCUUUUCCUCCAUCUGCUUCGUGCUCUGGCAGCAGCGUUAUCAAGAGAGUGAUCCAUGCUGAG
Molecule: long non-coding RNA, 582 nt
Filed under: Equus caballus (horse)
Lineage: Eukaryota; Metazoa; Chordata; Mammalia; Perissodactyla; Equidae
Description: lncRNA (ENSECAG00000049450.1)
Source: RNAcentral